This 164-nucleotide non-coding RNA is filed under the name uncultured Veillonella sp. Its description in RNAcentral is "Lysine riboswitch". It matches the Rfam family "Lysine riboswitch aptamer". Rfam says of the family: Riboswitches are metabolite binding domains within certain messenger RNAs that serve as precision sensors for their corresponding targets. Allosteric rearrangement of mRNA structure is mediated by ligand binding, and this results in modulation of gene expression. The record is from RNAcentral. Lineage: Bacteria; Bacillati; Bacillota; Negativicutes; Veillonellales; Veillonellaceae.
GUUGAUAGAGGUGCGAGUAUAAAUAGUAAUCAUGAGGAGUAGGCAUGCAUUGAUCCAUGAUAAAAGGGAUGCUUGCCGAAGUUCGGUGAUUGCGACUCAUCGUUCUGGUUGUCUAUUUAAUAGAUAGACGACUGUCAUCAAUUUGAAUUGGUGGAGUGCUAUCA